This 483-nucleotide ribosomal RNA is filed under the name uncultured bacterium. RNAcentral's name for it is "partial 16S ribosomal RNA". It matches the Rfam family "Bacterial small subunit ribosomal RNA", at positions 28 to 506 of the family's 1533-position model. The record is from RNAcentral.
AUUGAACGCUGGCGGCAUGCUUUACACAUGCAAGUCGAACGGCAGCGCGGGCUUCGGCCUGGCGGCGAGUGGCGAACGGGUGAGUAAUGCAUCGGAACGUGCCCAGUAGUGGGGGAUAGCCCGGCGAAAGCCGAAUUAAUCCCGCAUCCGACCUGAGGGUGAACGGGGGGGACCGAAAGGCCUCGCGCUUUUUGAGCGGCCGAUGUGGGAUUAGCUAGUUGGUGGGGUAAAGGCUUACCAAGGCGACGAUCCGUAGCUGGUCUGAGAGGACGACCGGCCACACUGGGACUGAGACACGGCCCAGACUCCUACGGGAGGCAGCAGUGGGGAAUUUUGGACAAUGGGGGCAACCCUGAUCCAGCCAUGCCGCGUGCGGGAAGAAGGCCUUCGGGUUGUAAACCGCUUUUGUUCGGGAAGAAAUCCUCUGGGCUAAUACCCCGGGGGGAGGACGGUACCGGAAGAAUAAGCACCGGCGAACUACGU